GACGAACGCCGGCGGCGUGCUUAACACAUGCAAGUCGAACGGAAAGGCCCUGCUUUUGUGGGGUGCUCGAGUGGCGCACGGGUGAGUAACACGUGAGUAACCUGCCCUUGACUUAGGGAUAACUUCAGGAAACUGGGGCUAAUACCGGAUAGGAGCUCCUGCUGCAUGGUGGGGGUUGGAAAGUUUCGGCGGUUGGGGAUGGACUCGCGGCUUACCAGCUUGUUGGUGGGGUAGUGGCUUACCAAGGCUGUGACGGGUAGCCGGCCUAAGAGGGUGACCGGCCUCAUUGUGACUGAGGUACGGCCCAGACUCAUACGGGAGGCAGCAGGGGAGAAUAUGGCACAAUGGGCGGAAGCCUGAUGCAGCAACGCCGCGUGCGGGAUGACGGCCUUCGGGUUUUAAACCGCUUUCGCCUGUGACGAAGCGUGAGUGACGUUGAUGAGUAAGGAAGCACCGGCUAACUACGUG
This 468-nucleotide ribosomal RNA is filed under the name uncultured bacterium. RNAcentral's name for it is "partial 16S ribosomal RNA". It matches the Rfam family "Bacterial small subunit ribosomal RNA", at positions 28 to 507 of the family's 1533-position model. The record is from RNAcentral.